GAGUAGGGCGAGACACGUGAUAUCUUGUCUGAAUAUUGGGGGACCAUCCUCAAAGGCUAAAUACUCCUAAUUGACCGAUAGUGAACUAGUACCGUGAGGGAAAGGUGAAAAGAACCCCGGAUAGGGGAGUGAAAUAGAACCUGAAACCGUAUACGUACAAGCAGUAGGAGCAAAAAUUUAUAAAAUUUUUUGUGACUGCGUACCUUUUGUAUAAUGGGUCAGCGACUUAUAUUUUGUAGCAAGGUUAACCUUAUAGGGGAGCCGAAGGGAAACCGAGUCCUAAAUAGGCGUUAAGUUGCAAGAUAUAGACCCGAAACCCGGUGAUCUAGCCAUGGGCAGGUUGAAAAUUAGUUAAUACUAAUUGGAGGACCGAACCGACUAAUGUUGAAAAAUUAGCGGAUGACUUGUGGUUAGGGGUGAAAGGCCAAUCAAACCGGGAGAUAGCUGGUUCUCCCCGAAAGCUAUUUAGGUAGCGCCUUAUGAAUUUAUCUUUGGGGGUAGAGCACUGUUUCGACUAGAGAUCCAUCCCGGAUUAUCAAUUCGAUGCAAACUCCGAAUACCAUAGAAUAUAAUCAUAGGAGACACACGGCGGGUGCUAACGUCCGUCGUGGAAAGGGAAACAACCCAGAUCGCCAGCUAAGGUCCCUAAAUUAUAAUUAAGUGGGAAACGAUGUGAGAAGUCUUAGACAACCAGGAUGUUGGCUUAGAAGCAGCUAUCAUUUAAAGAAAGCGUAAUAGCUCACUGGUCGAGUCAACUUGCGCGGAAGAUUUAACGGGGCUAAAUUAUAUACCGAAGCUGCGACAUGGGUAGGGGAGCGUUCUGUAAGCCUGUGAAGAUAUAUUGUAAAAUAUAUUGGAGGUAUCAGAAGAGCGAAUGCUGACAUAAGUAACGAUAAAGCAGGUGAAAAACCUGCUCGCCGAAAAACCAAGGGUUCCUGUUCAACGUUAAUCGAAGCAGGGUAAGUCGACACCUAAGGCGAGGCUGUAAAGCGUAGUCGAUGGAAAACUGGUUAAUAUUCCUGUACUAGUUAUAACUGCGAAGGGGGGACGAAGAAAGCUAGAUUCUCCAGGCGACGGUUGUUCCUGGUUUAAGCGCUUAAGUGAAAAAGAUAGGUAAAUCCGUCUUUUUUUGACACUGAGACGUAAUGACUAACUAUUAAAAUAGUAAAGGAAUUAAUGCUAUACUUCCAAGAAAAGCCUCUAAGCAUCAGGUUAUAUACUAAUCGUACCCCAAACCGACACAGGUGGUUAGGUAGAGAAUACUAAGGCGCUUGAGAGAACUCGGGUAAAGGAACUAGGCAAAAUAGUGCCGUAACUUCGGGAGAAGGCACGCUAACAUAUUAGUAAAAAAAUAUACGUUUUUAGCUAAAGUUAGCCGAAGAUACCAGCUGGCUGCAACUGUUUAUUAAAAACACAGCACUGUGCAAACACGAAAGUGGAAGUAUACGGUGUGACGCCUGCCCGGUGCCGGAAGGUUAAAUGAUAUUGUUAUCUUUUAUAGAAAAGCUAUUGAUUGAAGCCCCGGUAAACGGCGGCCGUAACUAUAACGGUCCUAAGGUAGCGAAAUUCCUUGUCGGGUAAGUUCCGACCUGCACGAAUGGCGUAAUGAUGGCCAGGCUGUCUCUACCCGAGACUCAGUGAAAUUGAAAUCGCUGUGAAGAUGCAGUGUACCCGCGGCAAGACGGAAAGACCCCGUGAACCUUUACUAUAGCUUGAUAUUGAAUAUUAAAUAUUAAUGUGUAGGAUAGGUGGGAGGCUAAGAAAUAUUAACGCUAGUUAAUAUAGAGCCUAUCUUGAAAUACCACCCUUUAAUAGUUGAUAUUCUAACUUAGAUUCUUAAUCAGGGUUAAAGACAGUAUCUGGUGGGUAGUUUGACUGGGGCGGUCUCCUCCUAAAAAGUAACGGAGGAGCACAAAGGUUAGCUAAUCACGGUCGGACAUCGUGAGUUUAGUGUAAAGGCAUAAGCUAGCUUAACUGCGAGAAUGACAAUUCGAGCAGAUGCGAAAGCAGGUCUUAGUGAUCCGGUGGUUCUGUAUGGAAAGGCCAUCGCUCAACGAAUAAAAGGUACUCCGGGGAUAACAGGCUAAUACCGCCCAAGAGUUCAUAUCGACGGCGGUGUUUGGCACCUCGAUGUCGGCUCAUCACAUCCUGGGGCUGAAGUAGGUCCCAAGGGUAUGGCUGUUCGCCAUUUAAAGUGGUACGCGAGCUGGGUUUAGAACGUCGUAAGACAGUUCGGUCCCUAUCUGCCGUGGGCGUUGGAAGAUUGAGAGGGGCUGCUCCUAGUACGAGAGGACCGGAGUGGAUGUACCUCUGGUGUUCGGGUUGUCAUGCCAAUGGCAUUGCCCGGUAGCUAUGUACAGAAAAGAUAACCGCUGAAAGCAUAUAAGUGGGAAACUUGCCUCAAGAUUAGUCUUCCCAGAAGCAAAAGCUUCCUAAAGGGUUGUUAAAGACUAUAACGUUGAUAGGUCGGGUGUGUAAGC
Molecule: ribosomal RNA, 2480 nt
Filed under: Enterobacteriaceae bacterium secondary endosymbiont of Mycopsylla proxima
Lineage: Bacteria; Pseudomonadati; Pseudomonadota; Gammaproteobacteria; Enterobacterales; Enterobacteriaceae
Description: bacterial LSU rRNA
Rfam family: Bacterial large subunit ribosomal RNA
Source: RNAcentral